CUACGGGUUGCAGCAGUAGGGAAUCUUAGACAAUGGGGGAAACCCUGAUCUAGCCAUGCCGCGUGAGUGAUGAAGGCCUUAGGGUUAUAAAGCUCUUUCGCUGGGGAAGAUAAUGACGGUACCCAGUAAAGAAACCCCGGCUAACUCCGUGCCAACAGCCGCGGUAAUACGGAGGGGGUUAGCGUUGUUCGGAAUUACUGGGCGUACAGCGCGCGUAGGCGGGCUAUUAAGUCAGGGGUGAAAUCCAGGGGCUCAACCCCGGAACUGCCUUUGAUACUGGUAGUCUUGAGUUCGAGAGAGGUGAGUGGAAUUCCGAGUGUAGAGGUGAAAUUCGUAGAUAUUCGGAGGAACAUCAGUGGCGAAGGCGACUCACUGGCUCGAUACUGACGCUGAGGUGCGAAAGUGUGGGGAGCAAACAGGAUUAGAUACCCCAGUAGUC
This 439-nucleotide ribosomal RNA is filed under the name uncultured bacterium. RNAcentral describes it as "partial 16S ribosomal RNA". It matches the Rfam family "Bacterial small subunit ribosomal RNA", at positions 339 to 795 of the family's 1533-position model. The record is from RNAcentral.